GCCGGUGUGAUGGAAUAGGUAGACGUGCCGGACUCAAAAUCCGGUGGUAGCAAUACCGUACCGGUUCGACCCCGGUCACCGGCACCA
This 87-nucleotide transfer RNA is filed under the name Oscillospiraceae bacterium. Its description in RNAcentral is "tRNA-Leu". It matches the Rfam family "tRNA". Rfam says of the family: Transfer RNA (tRNA) molecules are approximately 80 nucleotides in length. Their secondary structure includes four short double-helical elements and three loops (D, anti-codon, and T loops). The record is from RNAcentral. Lineage: Bacteria; Bacillati; Bacillota; Clostridia; Eubacteriales; Oscillospiraceae.